UACGGGAGGCAGCAGUGGGGAAUUUUCCGCAAUGGGCGAAAGCCUGACGGAGCAAUACCGCGUGAGGGAGGAAGGCUCUUGGGUUGUAAACCUCUUUUCUCAGGGAAGAAGCUCUGACGGUACCUGAGGAAUCAGCAUCGGCUAACUCCGUGCCAGCAGCCGCGGUAAUACNGGAGGAUGCAAGCGUUAUCCGGAAUGAUUGGGCGUAAAGCGUCCGCAGGUGGCGAUUCAAGUCUGCUGUCAAAGGUCGGGGCUCAACCCUGAACAGGCGGUGGAAACUGAACAGCUAGAGUGCGGUAGGGGUAGAGGGAAUUCCCGGUGUAGCGGUGAAAUGCGUAGAGAUCGGGAAGAACACCAGUGGCGAAAGCGCUCUACUAGGCCUGCACUGACACUCAGGGGACNAAAGCUAGGGGAGCGAAUGGGAUUAGAUACCCCAGUAGUCCUAGCCNGUAAACGAUGGAUACUAGGCGUGGCUUGUAUCGACCCGAGCCGUGCCGGAGCUAACGCGUUAAGUAUCCCGCCUGGGGAGUACGCACGCAAGUGUGAAACUCAAAAAAAUUGACGG
Molecule: ribosomal RNA, 565 nt
Filed under: uncultured bacterium
Lineage: Bacteria
Description: bacterial SSU rRNA
Rfam family: Bacterial small subunit ribosomal RNA
Source: RNAcentral